Molecule: ribosomal RNA, 201 nt
Filed under: uncultured bacterium
Lineage: Bacteria
Description: partial 16S ribosomal RNA
Rfam family: Bacterial small subunit ribosomal RNA
Source: RNAcentral
ACGCUCGACACCUACGUGAGGCAGCAGUGGGGAAUAUUGGGCAAUGGGCGCAAGCCUGACCCAGCAACGCCGCGUGAAGGAAGAAGGCUCUCGGGUUGUAAACUUCUUUUGACAGGGACGAAACAAAUGACGGUACCUGUCGAAUAAGCUCCGGCUAACUACGUGCCAGCAGCCGCGGUAAUCUGAGCGGGCUGGCAAGGC